Molecule: long non-coding RNA, 1981 nt
Filed under: Sus scrofa (pig)
Lineage: Eukaryota; Metazoa; Chordata; Mammalia; Artiodactyla; Suidae
Description: lncRNA (ENSSSCG00030049718.1)
Source: RNAcentral
CUCCUACUGCGUUUUUUUUAUGUUUUUUUUUUUUUCUGCCCUUGAAAUAUUGCUCAAAUCUGGUCUCCUCCUCUUUCACCCUCUGGGCAUUUGCUCUUGCUUUAGGGCUCUCUCUCCUCAUUUACAGCCCGGUCUGUAGAAGAGCCCUGCUGAGCUAUAUGGGAGACUUGAGGCAAGGAAAACUGCCCCCCUAGGGAUCAAACCCCAUGAGUACUAACUAGUCAGAUUUGUUUCCGCUGAGCCAUGAUGGGAACUCCAAGACUGCCUCUUUGCCCAGGCCACAUCUUCUGCCCGAGUUGUGGUCUUGUCCCCAAACCCCUUCACCUUAGACAUUACUUCUUAGCUCUGGAGUUCCACCUGGGGGAACACCUCCUGACCCCCUGCUUGGGUUCCUCAAGCCGGCUCCAUUGCUCUUUUUCCAGAGAAAUCUGUUUCCAUUCAACUCCCGGCUGUUAGGCUCAUGAUUCUGCUGUGAUUUAUCUGUUUACCUGUGUCCUCAGUUACACUGCCAGCUCUCCUUGAGGAGAGCAAGCGGGCUUUUCAUGUCAAAUGAAUAAUGAAUACAAUUGGAUACAGUGAAAGGAGCAGUAACGGACUAUGAAAUAAUUCAUGAAACACAAUAGCACAGCCCAGAGGCUCUGCUCGAAUGUCACACGAUCCUGAGUUCAAAUGUUAGUUGUCAUCAGUUAGCAUUGUGACACUGUAAAUAUUUUCAGAUUUUUUUACUAUGGAAACUUUCAAACAUAAGCAAAAGUAGAGAGAACCCUCUAGUGAGCCCACACGGGCCCACCCUGCAACUACCCCAGUCAACUUCUGGCCAAUCGUGUUUCUUUUCUCUUUUUUUUUUUUUUUUGUCUUUUUGCUAUUUCUUUGGGCCGCUCCCGAGGCAUAUGGAGGUUCCCACUCCAAACCAAUCGUGUUUCUUAGAGUGCCCCAACCUCCACCCCCAUCCCUGGAUUUUGGGGAAGCAAAUGCCAGACAACAUAUUAUUCCACAUGGAAUUAUUGCAGUCAUUACAGUAAACUAUGAAUUGAUUGCAAACUCUAUAUGAACCAUGUGCAAAAAAGAGCUGGCAAUGGGUUGGGGUCACGGGGAGACCCUUUUAAAGCAAGCCUUGAAGGAUGGAUAUGGAUUUUGGCAAAGAACAUUUGUAAAUGGGAAGCUGUAAGCCAUGUGAGCCGCACGGGGUCUGCAGAUUGUUUUUGCUCGAACCCCUGUCAGGAUGGGGAGAGGGAACUCGAGGGAAAACCUAGGUGUGGAACAGAGGGGGGCCAGCCCCCUGAUGCCUUUUAGGAGGAGGGAUGGGCUGGGGGAUCUUUUAGUUUUAGGUAACAUUGUGCUCCUCUGAAAGUCUGCACUCACAGUUGUGAAAUGAGGCGAGGACAUUAGUAAUACUGAUUUUGUGCCCUUCGGCUGUCUCUCAAAGCAUUUUCCUUCGUAACCCAUUUCUCCUUUUACAGGGAAAGAAAUUGUCACAGCACCUUUAAAGAAACUGGCUCCUGUACCAACUGCCAGGUUUUAGUCAGGGAGAAACGGGAACUCAGUUUUCCAUGCUCAGCCCUGCACUGAGGUGACCUGGCAACUGUGCAUUUUAUCCCACUGGGUUUAAUCCUUAUUAUGAAUAACAGAGCGAAGCUUUGUUAUUCACCAGAAUGGAUUUCUGCUGCUGGGAGAAUUAGCUGCAGUCUUAUUCGCAAGGAACCUUCUGAUGCAAUGAGGUCUUUUGAACCGUGCAUAAAUAAAUAGAGGCUAUUGUUUAGGCUUUUGGAGGUAAGGCUUAAAACUGCUCCAGAAGUUCCAGUCAGACUUCAAGUAUCUUUGUUUGGCUGAUUUUUUUUUUUUUUUCUAGUAGUAGUUUUCUCCAUAUUGCUUUAGCAGCCUGACUCUUCGUCAACUCCUAAAACUAGGGCACAACCAACCCUUUAUCUGGAGACUUUUAUGCUUAGAGAGGACGAAAUUCUGGGUCCAAAAAAAAAAAAAA